GAUGAACGCUAGCGGCAGGCCUAAUACAUGCAAGACGAACGGUAAGUUGGGUAGCAAUAUCCAGCCAAGAGUGUCGUAAGGGUGCGUAACACGUAUGCAAUCUGCCCUGUACAGGUGAAUAGCUCGGGGAAACUCGAAUUAACACACCGUAAUAUUGAGAAGUGGCAUCAUUUUUCAAUUAAAACUGGAGGUGGUACAGGAUGAGCAUGCGCAUGAUUAGCUAGUUGGCGGGGUAACAGCCCACCAAGGCAAUGAUCAUUAGGGGAACUGAGAGGUUGAUCCCCCANACUGGCACUGAGAUACGGGCCAGACUCC
This 315-nucleotide ribosomal RNA is filed under the name uncultured bacterium. RNAcentral describes it as "bacterial SSU rRNA". It matches the Rfam family "Bacterial small subunit ribosomal RNA", at positions 28 to 339 of the family's 1533-position model. The record is from RNAcentral.